GGCGCUAUAGCCAAGUGGUUACGGCGAUUGAUUCGAACAACCCGAAUUAUCAAUUCCUCUUGUAGGGCGCAGGUUCGAAUCCUGCUGGCGUCG
This is a transfer RNA of Piloderma croceum F 1598, 93 nucleotides long. It matches the Rfam family "tRNA". Rfam says of the family: Transfer RNA (tRNA) molecules are approximately 80 nucleotides in length. The record is from Rfam. NCBI's taxonomy places the organism in Eukaryota, Fungi, Basidiomycota, Agaricomycetes, Atheliales, Atheliaceae.